AAGCGGUGGAUGAUGUGGUUUAAUUCGAUGCAACGCGAAAACCUUACCACCUUUGACAUGGCAGGAAUCCUAAAGAGAUUUGGGAGUGCCCGAAAGAGAACCUGCACACAGGUGCUGCAUGGCUGUCGUCAGCUCGUGUCGUGAGAUGUUGGGUUAAGUCCCGCAACGAGCGCAACCCUUGUCAUUAGUUGCCAUCAUUUGGUUGGGCACUCUAAUGAGACUGCCGGUGACAAACCGGAGGAAGGUGGGGAUGACGUCAAGUCCUCAUGGCCCUUAUGGGUAGGGCUUCACACGUCAUACAAUGGUCGGUACAGAGGGUUGCCAACCCGCGAGGGGGAGCUAAUCCCACAAAGCCGAUCGUAGUCCGGAUCGCAGUCUGCAACUCGACUGCGUGAAGUCGGAAUCGCUAGUAAUCGUGGAUCAGCAUGUCACGGUGAAUACGUUCCCGGGUCUU
RNAcentral lists this ribosomal RNA (454 nucleotides) under uncultured Rhodocyclaceae bacterium. RNAcentral describes it as "bacterial SSU rRNA". It matches the Rfam family "Bacterial small subunit ribosomal RNA", at positions 927 to 1382 of the family's 1533-position model. The record is from RNAcentral. Lineage: Bacteria; Pseudomonadati; Pseudomonadota; Betaproteobacteria; Rhodocyclales; Rhodocyclaceae.